GCUUUAUAUAUUAUUUAAAUUCAGUUAAUUUAAAUUAAUAAAAGCUAAGUUUAACUAUUUUAUUCCAUUGGGGCGAUGUGAGUAUAAUUAAAAAUAACUGCUUAAGUAUAAUACAGUUAUAGUUGAAUUAAAUUAAUAAGAUCCUAAUUAAAGAUUGAAAGGCUAAGUU
RNAcentral lists this ribosomal RNA (169 nucleotides) under Danielea noelensis. Its description in RNAcentral is "partial 16S ribosomal RNA". The record is from RNAcentral. Lineage: Eukaryota; Metazoa; Arthropoda; Malacostraca; Decapoda; Xanthidae.